RNAcentral lists this ribosomal RNA (449 nucleotides) under uncultured bacterium. Its description in RNAcentral is "bacterial SSU rRNA". It matches the Rfam family "Bacterial small subunit ribosomal RNA", at positions 28 to 478 of the family's 1533-position model. The record is from RNAcentral.
GGUGAACGCUGGCGGCGUGCUUAACACAUGCAAGUCGAACGGGAAAUACUUCAUUGAGACUUCGGUGGAUUUGAUCUAUUUCUAGUGGCGGACGGGUGAGUAACGCGUGGGUAACCUGCCUUAUACAGGAGGAUAACAGUCAGAAAUGGCUGCUAAUACCGCAUAAGCGCACAGAGCUGCAUGGCUCAGUGUGAAAAACUCCGGUGGUAUAAGAUGGACCCGCGUUGGAUUAGCUGGUUGGUGGGGUAACGGCCCACCAAGGCGACGAUCCAUAGCCGGCCUGAGAGGGUGAACGGCCACAUUGGGACUGAGACACGGCCCAGACUCCUACGGGGGGCAGCAGUGGGGAAUAUUGCACAAUGGGGGAAACCCUGAUGCAGCGACGCCGCGUGAAGGAAGAAGUAUCUCGGUAUGUAAACUUCUAUCAGCAGGGAAGAUAGUGACGGUAC